AAUUUUGGACAAUGGGGGAAACCCUGAUCCAGCCAUCCCGCGUGUAUGAUGAAGGCCUNCGGGUUNUNAAGUACUUUUGGCAGAGNCAAAAAGGUAUCUCCUAAUACGAGAUCAUGCUGACGGUAUCUGCAGAAUAAGCACCGGCUACCUACGUGCCAGCAGCCGCGGUAAUACGUAGGGUGCAAGCGUUAAUCGGAAUUACUGGGCGUAAAGCAUGUGUAAGCGGAUCGGAAAGAAAGAAUUGGAAACCCAGGGCUCAACCUUGGAACUGCAUUUUUAACUGCCGAGCUAGAGUAUGUCGGAGGGAGGUAGAAUUCCACGUGUAACAGUGAAAUGCGUAGAUAUGUGGAGGAAUACCGAUGGCGAAGGCAGCCCCCUGGGAUAAUACUGACGCUCAGACACGAAAGCGUGGGGAGCAAACA
This 422-nucleotide ribosomal RNA is filed under the name uncultured bacterium. RNAcentral describes it as "partial 16S ribosomal RNA". It matches the Rfam family "Bacterial small subunit ribosomal RNA", at positions 360 to 774 of the family's 1533-position model. The record is from RNAcentral.